This 253-nucleotide ribosomal RNA is filed under the name uncultured bacterium. RNAcentral's name for it is "partial 16S ribosomal RNA". It matches the Rfam family "Bacterial small subunit ribosomal RNA", at positions 524 to 776 of the family's 1533-position model. The record is from RNAcentral.
UACGUAGGGUGCAAGCGUUAAUCGGAAUUACUGGGCGUAAAGGGUGUGUAGGCGGUUUAUUAAGUCUGAUGUGAAAUCCCCGGGCUCAACCUGGGAACUGCGUUGGAUACUGGUAAACUAGAGUAUGUAAGAGGGGGGUGGAAUUCCACGUGUAGCAGUGAAAUGCGUAGAGAUGUGGAGGAACACCGAUGGCGAAGGCAACCCCCUGGGACAAUACUGACGCUGAGGCACGAAAGCGUGGGGAGCAAACAGG